AUGGUAACUAAUGUACGUUCUGAAACUAAUGUAAUGACUGUAUGUACUGUAUCUACUGUAACGAAUGUACCUACUGUAUCUACUGUAACUACUGUAACUAAUGUAUCUACAGUAACUACUGUAACUACUGUAUCUACGGUAACUAAUGUAUCUACUGUAUCUAAUGUAACUAAUGUACCUACUGAUUAUAAUGUACCUACUGUAUCUACCGUAUCUACUGUAACUAAUAUACCUAUUGUAUCUAGAGUAACUAAUGUAACUACUGUAACUACUGUAACUACUGUACAUACUGUAACUACUGUAUAUACUGUACCUACGGUAACUAAUGUACCUAAUGUACCUACAGUAACUACUUUAAUGACUGUAUGUACUGUAUCUAUGGUAACUAACGUAACUACUGAAACUAAUGUAAUGCCUGUAUGUACUGUAUCUACUAUAACUAAUGUACCUACUGUUACUGAUGUGCCUACUGUACCUACUGUAUCUACUGUACUUACUGUAACUAAUGUAUCUACGGUAACUACUGUAACUACUGUACCUACUGUAUCUAGAGUAACUAAUGUACCCACUGUAACUGCUUUUUCUACUGUAACUAAUGUACCUACUGUAUCUACUGUAUCUACGGUAACUAAUGUACCUAUUGUUACUAAUAUACCUGCUGUAUUUACUGUAUCUACUGUAACUAAUGCACCUACUGAAUCUACUGUAUAUACGGUAACUAAUGUACCUACUGUUACUAAUAUACCUACUGUAUCUACUGUAUCUACUGUAUCUACUGUAACUAAUGGACCUACUGAAUCUACUGUCUCUAAGGUAACUAAUGUACCUACUGUUACUAAUAUACCUACUGUAUCUACUGUAACUAAUGUACCUACUGUAUUUAAUGUAUAUAUGGUAACUAAUGUACCUACUGUUACUAAAAUACCUACUGUAUCUACUGUAUCUACGGUAACUCAUGUACCUACUGUUACUAAUAUACCUACUGUAUCUACUGUAUCUACUGUAACUAAUGUACCUACUGUAUUUACUGUAUAUAUGGUAACUAAUGUACCUACUGUUACUAAUACACCUACUGUAUCUACUGUAUCUACGGUAACUAAUGUGCCUACUGUUACUUAUAUACCUACUGUAUCUACUGUACCUACUGUAUCUACUGUAACUAAUGUACCUACUGUAUCUAUGGAUACUAAUGUACCGACUGUUACUUAUAUACCUACUGUACCUACUGUAUCUACUGUAUCUUCUGUAACUAUUGUACCUACUGUUACUAAUAUACCUACUGUAUCUACUGUAUCUACUGUAUCUACUGUAUCUACUGUACCUACGGUAACUAAUGUACCUACUGGUAUUAAUAUACCUACUGUAUCUACUGUAUCUACUGUAUCUACUGUAUCUACUGUAACUAAUGUACCUUCUGUAUCUACUGUACCUACGGUAACUAAUGUACCUACUGUUACUAAUGUACCUACUGUAUCUACUGUAUCUACUGUAACUAAUGUACCUACUGUAUCUACUGUAUCUACUGUAACUAAUGUACCUACUGUUACUUAUAUACCUACUGUAUCUACUGUAUCUACUGUAACUAAUGUACCUACUGUAUCUAUGGAUACUAAUGUACCGACUGUUACUUAUAUACCUAUUGUAUCUACUGUAUCUUCUGUAAAUAAUGUACCUACUGUAUAUACGGUAACUAAUGUACCUACUGUUACUAAUAUACCUACUGUAACUACUGUACAUACUGUAACUACUGUAUCUACUGUACCUACGGUAACUAAUGUACCUAAUGUACCUACAGUAACUACUUUAAUGACUGUAUGUACUGUAUCUAUGGUAACUAAUGUAACUACUGAAACUAAUGUAAUGCCUGUAUGUACUGUAUCUACUAUAACUAAUGUACCUACUGUUACUAAUGUGCCUACUGUAUCUACUGUACUUACUGUAACUAAUGUAUCUACGGUAACUACUGUAACUACUGUACCUACUGUAUCUAGAGUAACUAAUGUACCUACUGUAACUGCUUUUUCUACUGUAACUACUGUACCUACUGUAUCUGCUGUAUAA
Oncorhynchus mykiss (rainbow trout) is the source of this 2061-nucleotide long non-coding RNA. The record is from Ensembl. Lineage: Eukaryota; Metazoa; Chordata; Actinopteri; Salmoniformes; Salmonidae.